Cyprinodon variegatus (sheepshead minnow) is the source of this 2206-nucleotide RNA transcript. It is a transcript of the gene named purinergic receptor P2X, ligand gated ion channel, 1, with no coding region annotated. The record is from RefSeq and is a predicted model, not a curated record. NCBI's taxonomy places the organism in Eukaryota, Metazoa, Chordata, Actinopteri, Cyprinodontiformes, Cyprinodontidae. The transcript has 14 exons.
GCUGGGCUGGAGGGAGGAACUCUUCACUCCUUCAAAUGAAGCUUGUCAGACAUUAGGAGAGGAGGCAGAAGAGAGUCUCAACAAGCCAAGAGCAGAAGCAGAGUCAACUCAGAAAGGGGAUCUUUUUCUGCUUUUUUUUUUCUAUAUGCCAUUGAGGUGACAAGACAGACCCUCCUUGUCUGUGGGUCAGCUGAGGAGAAAAGAUGAAGAACCAAAUCACCAGCGCCCUUUCUGACUUCUUCUUUGAGUAUGAGACCCCUCGCCAGGUGCUGGUGAGGAAUAAGAGGGUGGGACUUGUGUGCCGGUUCAUCCAGAUGGGGGUCCUGGUUUACAUCAUUGGGUGGGUCUUCAUUUAUGAGAAAGGUUACCAAUCCACAGACACAGCUGUGAGCUCUGUGUUCACCAAAAUGAAGGGAGUGGGCUACACCAACGUAAGCGGGAGGGAGACGGUGUGGGACGUGGCUGACUACGUCUUCCCCUCUCAGGGAGACUCAUCGUUCGUUGUGAUGACUAACUUCAUCAUUACCGAAGGUCAGAAGAUGGGAAAGUGUCCAGAGCUUACGGGUAAAUGCACCUCAAACGAUGACUGUACAGAGGGGAGUUACAAACGUACGGGACAUGGACAUAUGACUGGAGUCUGUGUGAACACAACAAAAACCUGCGAGGUGUUAGCGUGGUGCCCUGUUGAAAAUGACACCAUCAUACCAAAGCCUCCUCUUCUGACAUCUGCAGAAAACUACACACUUUUCAUCAAAAACUCUGUAACUUUCCCUCUAUUUGAUGUCACAAGGAGUAAUUUGGUGGAGGGCAUUGAUGGGGCAUACCUCAAGAAAUGUCUUCACCAUCCGAAGAAUGAUCCACUCUGUCCUAUAUUCAAACUGGGAGACAUAGUUAAACACUCUGGCUUCAGUUUUGAAGAUUUAGCCCAGGAGGGAGGAGCUAUUGGUAUUGUGAUUGACUGGACAUGUAACUUCGAUGUUGAUGUAAAACACUGCAAACCUCAGUACAACUUUCACGGUCUCUAUGGAAACAAAGACAGCACGAAUGCAUCGCUUGGCUACAACUUCAGAUAUGCCAAGCAUUAUAUGGAGAAUAAUGAAGCCAAGAGGACCCUCCUCAAAGUGUUUGGCAUCAGGUUUGAUAUCAUAGUGCAAUCACUGGCAAGAAAAUUUGAUAUAAUUCCAACACUCACAGCAAUAGGCUCAGGCGUGGGGAUUUUUGGAGUGGCGACUGUGGUCUGCGACUUGGUGCUGCUCUAUUUGCUACCAAAAAGAAAGUUUUACAAGAACAUGAAGUUCAAAUAUACAGACACUCACACACAGCUUUCAGUCCUUCUCAGCCUCAUAACAUGACACCAGGACAUGACCUCCAGAAGAAUCAAGCAACAGCAGCAGAGGAUCCUGAUUCAGAGGCUGGAAGCACAGAGACAGAGCAGAAGUAAAGCCAGUGGGAAGCCAUUUUCCAAAGUGAACUUCAGAGGAACUUCAUCAUGACAUGGAGGGAAACUCAAGCACAGACAUUGGAUCUUUAACAUAGACGUCCUUCCACUCCAUAAACUAAGCAGUGACUGUAAUUAUCUCCGUUUUAGAUGAAGCCAUCUAUAUACAAAUUGUAUGUGUACUUUUUUGGGUGUUACUCUGCUGUUCCUAAGAUGGGUGUAACCUUCACAACUUCAACCAUGUCUGAGAUAUGAAGAUGUGGAACUCUGUGUAUUCUGUGUGCACAUACAUGGCCUCACCCGGUUUACCCGUCAUUGCAAAUAAGGAGAGUAAACUUGUGUUUGCAUUUCUAACUAUAAACUGAUUCAAUGUUUAAACUGGUGAUUCAUCCCAUGGGUACAUUACAUGACAGACAGAUGGAUUAAAUAAACAUUGUUUCCUGUUUUUUAUUCACUGAAAACAGCAACAAACUUUCAGGUCCUCAGAGGGUUGUUUUUAAUAUUAUUAUUGUUUCCGUCCAUGUUGAGUGGAAAAAGCAUGUGAAAAAAUAGCUUAUUCAUAUUGAUAAAUUUUUACAUAGUAAAGGCAUUCCAUAGGUAUGUGUCAUGCUUCAGUUUCAACAGGUGAGUACAUUCAGGUGUGAAACAGGCAUCAAACAAAAAGAGCAGAAAUGGACUUCUUAGGCCCCGUCCACACGAAGCCAAACCCUGGCCUAAACGCACAAAUUUUUCACCAAACCAGCCUCUCAUCCAUACGAAGCCGGCGUU